AGUGAACGCUGGCGGUAGGCCUAACACAUGCAAGUCGAACGGCAGCACAGGAGAGCUUGCUCUCUGGGUGGCGAGUGGCGGACGGGUGAGGAAUACAUCGGAAUCUACUCUGUCGUGGGGGAUAACGUAGGGAAACUUACGCUAAUACCGCAUACGACCUACGGGUGAAAGCAGGGGACCUUCGGGCCUUGCGCGAUUGAAUGAGCCGAUGUCGGAUUAGCUAGUUGGCGGGGUAAAGGCCCACCAAGGCGACGAUCCGUAGCUGGUCUGAGAGGAUGAUCAGCCACACUGGAACUGAGACACGGUCCAGACUCCUACGGGAGGCAGCAGUGGGGAAUGUUGGACAAUGGGCGCAAGCCUGAUCCAGCCAUACCGCGUGGGUGAAGAAGGCCUUCGGGUUGUAAAGCCCUCUUGUUGGGAAAGAAAUCCAGCUGGCUAAUACCCGGUUGGGAUGACGGUACCCAAAGAAUAAGCACCGGCUAACUUCGUGCCAGCCGCCGCUGUAA
RNAcentral lists this ribosomal RNA (506 nucleotides) under uncultured bacterium. RNAcentral describes it as "partial 16S ribosomal RNA". It matches the Rfam family "Bacterial small subunit ribosomal RNA", at positions 29 to 523 of the family's 1533-position model. The record is from RNAcentral.